Molecule: long non-coding RNA, 2184 nt
Organism: Carassius gibelio (silver crucian carp)
Lineage: Eukaryota; Metazoa; Chordata; Actinopteri; Cypriniformes; Cyprinidae
Exons: 2
Source: RefSeq, a predicted model, not a curated record
CGGCGACUGAAGGACGUACUGAGGGGAUUUCAGCCGAGGAGAAGAGGGCCGGUCCAGUGACAAGAGAUCCUAAUCACAGCAGCCGAGAAAACAUCUACACGUGUGAGGAACGAAGGAGAAAAAGAGAAAUGAAGAUGUAGGCUCGACGUCUGAGACGCAGAAGGAUCCGAGCGUCUGUCUGCUGACCUCAUGUUAUUUCUGUUCUGUUUCUUAUGCAACGAACGAGCAGAAGCAGCACUCCAGGAGACUGAAGGACGCUGCUGGAGGUCAAAGGUCAAACGAGGUGGAAACAGAAGAGAACUCUCAGCAUUGACAUCUAUCCAUCCAUCUAUCUAUAUAUUUUAAUUAUAAUUAUUUAUUAUAUUGUCAAUAAAUCUGUAAAUAUAUUAUUUAAUAUAUUAAACAUUAUAUAUUAUUAAUAUGAUUUAUAUUAUUAAUUGUAAUUAUUAUUUACUGUGUUGUAAAAAAAUUAAUCUAAGAAUAAUCAUCAGAUUUAUCAAUAAAUAAAUAGAUCAAAAUCAGAAAUUAAACAUGAAAAAUUAUCAAAUACUUAAUUAUUCUUAAUAUUUUUUUUCAGUAAUGAUAUUUUAUACUAUAGUAUCUAGUGGUUAAAAAAACAGUAGCAAAGUAUUUAAGCAUCAUGAUUAUCAUGAUGAUGAAAAUUUACUAACAACCAAUAAAAUCAUGACCAGUUUGCAUUCAGUUUCAAUGCAGUUUAUACAGUAUAUAUAUAUAUAUAUAUAUAUUUGAAGUAUAGUCUCAGUAAACUACUAGAUUACGUGUUAGUAUCUGCUGUUUCUUUAUUUUUCUUCACUUGUGUUUUUUUGGGAAAUUCUGUGUACUAGCGCCCUCUACAGUAUAACAAUGAAAACACAGAUUCUAGGAGUACAGCUCAAAUAAAUUUGGAAUUUUUGUAAAUAUAAAUCAAGUAUACUUAAAAAGUAUUUUUCUGAGAAGUACAUAAAAAGUAAACUAAAAGAUACGUUCCUAUUUGUAGAUUAAAAGAAGUAUACUAAUAGCACACUUGAAUAAACGUCUUUUUCAUAAGGGUUGCUUAUUAUUAUUAUUAUUAUUAUAUAUAAAACCCCCAAAAGUUAUACUUUUAGCAAAUGAAAAGGCCCUUUAAGAGUGAAAUUAAUAAGCCUCAGGCUGAAAGAACAGCCUCUCAAGAGCUGUCAAUCAAUAAAUGUCAAAACAAAGUAACUUGCAUUAGUUAUCUGAAAAAGUGCAAUUAAUUUAAAAGUAAUGCAUGACUUAAAGCAUAAUCUGAUUACCCCCAACCCAGCAUUGGUGUUUCCUGCAUGAAUGUUACUCAUCAGGAGUGUGGAGUGUGUUUUUAUUGUUGUCUCUGUCCACAGACGAACCGCUCUAUUGUUGCGGCCGAAGAAAAAGCCUUUCAUUUGAAGAACCUUGACUCACACUGCUUCCAUGAGAGCUGUUAUCAUAGGCAGAGCUCUACAGGAAACUCUGUUUAUCACUUCCUUUCAGUCGUAGUUUGUUUAGGGCUUCGUUGUGUGAUCAGAUUGCAGAGAGAGAGCGACGCAUCGGAGGAGAACACCCACAGGAGCUGCUAUCAGCCGCCGCAUAUGUCUGUGUGUAUGAAAACACGCUCUAUCACAGGACGACAGAUCGCUCGCUGUCUCGUUCAACUACAGCUUUUUGUAGAGUGUGAGGGAUUUGGAAAGAGGGGAGCGUUUCACUUCUGCUUUCUAAAUGAGCUGAGAGCAUUCAGCCAAGACACGGUCAUUUCAGAACGGAGGAGAGGCACAUCGUUGCACACUCAAACAGAGAGCGUUCAGAGAAGUGAUCCGUCUGUCUGCGAGUGUGUGUGUGUGUGUGUGUGUGUGUGUGGCUGCAUAUAGUGCAUUGUCAGUGCAGAUAUAUGGGCACUUAAUGACACAACACAGAAAAGCAGAACAGACAAUUGGACCCGUUUUAAUCAUCUGAUAAAUUUCCUUUUCGGACUGAUGCAACAUGUGGGUAAUUAAAAGAAAUAAACGAGGAAUUCUUCAUUAGAGAGCAGCUUCAUUCGUGUCAAUGGCUGCUGCUCGGCUGGAGCAGGACCCGCUGGAAACAGGGACAGAGCCAUGGGACUUUCUGAGCCAAUCAGCUGAGGCGUUAAUGUCAUGUGACUGUUCACUCUGCACUGCUCUCAAAGUUGAAAAUAAAACCAGGAUUAUUGGA